This 403-nucleotide ribosomal RNA is filed under the name uncultured bacterium. RNAcentral describes it as "bacterial SSU rRNA". It matches the Rfam family "Bacterial small subunit ribosomal RNA", at positions 355 to 774 of the family's 1533-position model. The record is from RNAcentral.
UGGGGAAUAUUGGACAAUGGGGGAAACCCUGAUCCAGCGAUGCCGCGUGAGUGAUGAAGGCCUUCGGGUUGUAAAGCUCUUUUAUCCGGGACGAUAAUGACGGUACCGGAAGAAUAAGCUCCGGCUAACUUCGUGCCAGCAGCCGCGGUAAUACGAAGGGAGCUAGCGUUGUUCGGAAUUACUGGGCGUAAAGGGUGUGUAGGUGGUUGCUUAAGUGAGAUGUGAAAGCCCCGGGCUUAACCUGGGAACGGCAUUUCAUACUGAGGGACUAAGUGUGUAAGAGGGGAAAGCGGAAUGGCGAGUGGAGCAGUGAAAUGCGUUGAUAUUCGUUGGAACACCAGAGGCGAAGGCGGCUUUCUGGCUUAUCACAGACACUGAGGCACUAAAGCGUGGGGAGCAAACA